ACUCAAAGGAAUUGACGGGGGCCCGCACAAGCAGCGGAGCGUGUGGUUUAAUUCGAUGAUACGCGAAGAACCUUACCUGGGUUUGACAUAGAGGUAGUAGGGAAGCGAAAGCGGACCGACCCUUCGGGGGGCCUCUACAGGUGCUGCAUGGCUGUCGUCAGCUCGUGUCGUGAGAUGUUGGGUUAAGUCCCGCAACGAGCGCAACCCUCGUGGCUAGUUACAAGUGUCUAGCCAGACUGCCGGUUUCAAACCGGAGGAAGGUGGGGAUGACGUCAAGUCAGCAUGGUCUUUAUGUCCAGGGCUACACACACGCUACAAUGGCCGGUACAAUGGGUUGCCACACCGCGAGGUGCAGCUAAUCCCCAAAGCCGGUCUCAGUUCAGAUUGCAGUCUGCAACUCGACUGCAUGAAGGCGGAGUUGCUAGUAACCGCGCGUCAGCCAUAGUGCGGUGAAUGCGUUCCCGGGCCUUGUACACACCGCCCGU
RNAcentral lists this ribosomal RNA (485 nucleotides) under uncultured bacterium. RNAcentral's name for it is "partial 16S ribosomal RNA". It matches the Rfam family "Bacterial small subunit ribosomal RNA", at positions 899 to 1397 of the family's 1533-position model. The record is from RNAcentral.